AAUUCCUGCUGUGGGAAUUCCCUGUCCUCCUUUAUUCUACACAGAAUUCCUGUUCCAUGAAUUCCCUGUCCUCCUUUAUCCUACCCCAAAUUCCCACUCCAUGAAUUCCCUGUCCUCCUUUAUCCUACCCCAAAUUCCCACUCCAGGAAUUCCCUGUCCUCAGCACAGCAGCUCCAGCUCCUGGGGUUGGGAACACUCGGGUUUUUUCCUACUGGGAUGUUCAAUUUUAAGGAAAAAGAAGAAACCAGGAACAUUCCUGGGAUGAAAGGAGCAGGGACAAGCUCUGGGAGCAUUGCUGAAGCUCCAGGAACAUUCCUGGGGGGAAGAGAGCCAGGAACAGGCUCUGGGAGCAUUCCUGGAGCUCCAGGAACAUUCCUGGGAUGAGAGGAGCAGGAACAGGCUCCAGGAACAUUCCUGGAGCUCCAGGAACAUUCCCAGAGGUCCAGGAACAUUCCCAGUGGGAAAGGGAGCAGGAACAGGCUCCAGGAGCAUUCCCAGAGCUCCAGGAGCAUUCCCAGGGGGAAGAGAGCCAGGAACAGGCUCUGGGACCAUUCCUGGAGCUCCAGGAACAUUCCUGGGAUGAGAGGAGCAGGAACAGGCUCCAGGAGCAUUCCCAGAGCUCCAGGAGCAUUCCCAAGGGGAAGAGAGCCAGGAACAGGCUCUGGGAGCAUUCCUGGAGCUCUAGGAACAUUCCCAAGGUGAGAGGAGCAGGAACAGGCUCCAGGAACACUCCCAGAGCUCCAGGAGCAUUCCCAGAGCUCCAGGAACAUUCCCAGAGCUCCAGGAGCAUUCCCAGGGGGAAGAGAGCCAGGAAAAGUCUCCGGGAGCCGAUUCCCUGUGCUGAGCAAUUCCUGCCCCUGGCACUGCAGGAUCACAGAGCUCCAGCCUGGCCAGAAACUUCCUCAGCCUCGGGAGCAGCUGAACUUCCAGACCCUUCCAGACCCUUCCAGACCCUUCUAGACCCUUCCCAACCCUUCCAAACCCUUCCAAACCCUUCCAGACCCUUCCAUACCCUUCCAAACCCUUUCAGACCCUUCCCGACCCUUCCAGAUCCUUCCAAACCCUUCCAAACCCUUCUGGACCCUUCUGGACCCUCCCAGACCCCUCCAAACCCUUCCAGACCCUUCCAAACCCUUCCAAACCCUUCCCAACCCCUCCAAACCCUUCCAAACCCUU
RNAcentral lists this long non-coding RNA (1176 nucleotides) under Parus major (Great Tit). RNAcentral describes it as "lncRNA (ENSPMJG00000000132.1)". The record is from RNAcentral. Lineage: Eukaryota; Metazoa; Chordata; Aves; Passeriformes; Paridae.